GACGAACGCUGGCGGCGUGCUUAACACAUGCAAGUCGAACGGAAAGGCCCUGCUUUUGUGGGGUGCUCGAGUGGCGAACGGGUGAGUAACACGUGAGUAACCUGCCCUUGACUUUGGGAUAACUUCAGGAAACUGGGGCUAAUACCGGAUAGGAGCUCCUGCUGCAUGGUGGGGGUUGGAAAGUUUCGGCGGUUGGGGAUGGACUCGCGGCUUAUCAGCUUGUUGGUGGGGUAGUGGCUUACCAAGGCUUUGACGGGUAGCCGGCCUGAGAGGGUGACCGGCCACAUUGGGACUGAGAUACGGCCCAGACUCCUACGGGAGGCAGCAGUGGAGAAUAUUGCACAAUGGGGGGAAGCCUGAUGCAGCAACGCCGCGUGCGGGAUGACGGCCUUCGGGUUAUAAACCGCUGUAGCCUGUGACGAAGCGUGAGUGACGGUAAUGGGUAAAGAAGCACCGGCUAACUACGUG
RNAcentral lists this ribosomal RNA (468 nucleotides) under uncultured bacterium. RNAcentral's name for it is "partial 16S ribosomal RNA". It matches the Rfam family "Bacterial small subunit ribosomal RNA", at positions 28 to 507 of the family's 1533-position model. The record is from RNAcentral.